GAUGAACGCUGGCGGCGUGCCUAAUACAUGCAAGUAGAACGCUUAAGGUGGAGCUUGCUCUUCUGGAUGAGUUGCUAACGGGUGAGUAACGCGUAGGUAACCUGCCUGCUAGCGGGGGCUAAAUAUUGGAAACGAUAGCUAAUACCGCAUUACUACAGUUAUUGCAUGAUAACUGUUUCAAAGGGUCAACUCCUCCCCUACCAGAUGGACCUGCGUUGUAUUAGCUAGUUGGUUAGGUAACGGCUCACCAAGGCGACGAUACAUAGCCGAACUGAGAGGGUGAUCGGCAAGACUUGGACUGAAACACGGCCCAGACUACAACGAGAGGCAGCAGUAGGGAAUGUUCGGGAAUGGGCGAAAGUCUGAACGAGCAAAGCCGCCUGAAUAAGGAAGGUUUUCGGAACGUAAAGCUCUGUUGUAAGAGAAAAACGAGUGUAAGAGUGGAAAGUUCACGCUGUGACGGUAUCUUACCAGAAAGAGACGGCUAGCUAAGUG
This 495-nucleotide ribosomal RNA is filed under the name uncultured bacterium. RNAcentral describes it as "partial 16S ribosomal RNA". It matches the Rfam family "Bacterial small subunit ribosomal RNA", at positions 28 to 507 of the family's 1533-position model. The record is from RNAcentral.